RNAcentral lists this ribosomal RNA (119 nucleotides) under Ricinus communis (castor bean). Lineage: Eukaryota; Viridiplantae; Streptophyta; Magnoliopsida; Malpighiales; Euphorbiaceae. The record is from RNAcentral.
GUGUGCGAUCAUACCAGCCCUAGUGCACCGGAUCCCAUCUGAACUCCGAAGUUAAACGUGCUUGGGCGAGAGUAGUACUAAGAUGGGUGACCUCUUGGGAAGUCCUCGUGUUGCACCCC